This 980-nucleotide long non-coding RNA is filed under the name Homo sapiens (human). RNAcentral's name for it is "HSALNT0322772". The record is from RNAcentral. Lineage: Eukaryota; Metazoa; Chordata; Mammalia; Primates; Hominidae.
CCGCCCUCCCUCUCUCCCUCUCUCCCGCGCGCCUCCGCCCUCCCUUGCCAGGAAACGCCGGCUCCUGUUCGGUUUCUCGCGUUGCCCCUUCUUCCUCUCUACUCCCCUCAGGCUUGAGUCCUUUCUGCUCUCUCAGCACUCGCCUCGCGCUCCCCCACCGCGCCCUCCGCCGCCUCUUUUCUGCCCCCGCCCGUGCUCUGUUGCCGCCGCCCCUUCGCAGCGUCCCGCGGCUGCUACUCACAAUCGCGCCCCCACUCAACCCCACCCAAAUGGCCAGGUCCGCGCUCCAGUCGCCGGGCAGUGCCUACCUAAGGACCAGCCUCCAGCCCCUCCCGCUUCUUCUGCCGGGUCUCUGUCUCACCGGAAAAAGAAACUCCCAAAUAAAGUUGCGGCCCAAGCCAGCGUUGGGUAGGCAUUGCUGCAAAGUGCUCCAGCGAGUGUGGAAGCCUCUCUCCAAGGAAGAAAACCUCCAGCCCCGCAGUUAUCAGGAGCCAUCUAAACAAUUAGAAAGUUGGCAAUAAACCCAAGGGGUGGAGGCAAAUGACCCAAAAUUUGAAACCUGCUUCCUACGACCUCAACAUACCUAUGCCCAAGCCGCUAUUCACACUUGUGCAUCUACACACCUACAGACCUACCUAGCAAAAAGAAAAUAAACAUUUUAUUUUUUAAGCAGCAAGAUGGAAAAUGGAUCAACUCUGUGACUUCAGGAGGCGCUCCUUUCUUCUCGCCAAGCCUCUUUGUUUGACAAUAGCUUCUGUCCAGUCCUCUGGCAGAUGCAGACAGAUGUGAGCAGCCCCCCUCACUAUCCCCCACCCCUGGGUGAGGAGGAGUAGCUGGAGAUUCCCCUCAGGCUUCUGGGCAAAGGGUCCCCGCAGUAGGCGUCCCCCACCCGAAAAUCAGCCCGCCCCUGAAGCAAUCCCAAGGGGAGAAAUCUCUGUCUCCUCCUUGUAUCUGGGUCCUAAUUUACUAUUAAAAUUUUA